This 253-nucleotide ribosomal RNA is filed under the name uncultured bacterium. RNAcentral describes it as "partial 16S ribosomal RNA". It matches the Rfam family "Bacterial small subunit ribosomal RNA", at positions 524 to 776 of the family's 1533-position model. The record is from RNAcentral.
GACGAACCGAGCGAACGUUGUUCGGAAUUACUGGGCGUAAAGGGCUCGUAGGCGGCCAACUAAGUCAUACGUGAAAUCCCUCGGCUUAACCGGGGAACUGCGUCUGAUACUGGAUGGCUUGAGUUCGGGAGAGGGAUGCGGAAUUCCAGGUGUAGCGGUGAAAUGCGUAGAUAUCUGGAGGAACACCGGUGGCGAAGGCGGCAUCCUGGACCGAUACUGACGCUGAGGAGCGAAAGCCAGGGGAGCAAACGGG